CCUACGGGUGGCAGCAGUGAGGAAUAUUGGUCAAUGGGCGGAAGCCUGACCCAGCCAAGUAGCGUGCAGGAUGACGGCCCUACGGGUUGUAAACUGCUUUUAUACGGGAAUAACGCGCCUUACGUGUUGGGCUUUGCAUGUACCGUAUGAACAAGGACCGCCUAAUCCCGUGCCAGCAGCCGCGGUAAUACGGAAGGUCCGGGGGUUACUCGGAUUUAUUGGGUUUAAGGGGAGCGUAGGCCGCAUGUCAAGCGUGCUGUGAAAUGUCCGGGCUCAACCCGGGCCUUGCAGCGCGAACUGGCGUGCUUGAGUCCGCGGAAGGCAGGCGGAAUUCGUCGUGUAGGGGUGAAAUGCUUAGAUAUGACGAAGAACCCCGAUUGCGAAGGCAGCUUGCUGCAGCGGAACUGACGCUGAUGAUCGAAAGCGCGGGUAUCGAACAGGAUUAGAUACCCUUGUAGUC
RNAcentral lists this ribosomal RNA (460 nucleotides) under uncultured bacterium. RNAcentral's name for it is "partial 16S ribosomal RNA". It matches the Rfam family "Bacterial small subunit ribosomal RNA", at positions 338 to 795 of the family's 1533-position model. The record is from RNAcentral.